AGUGAACGCUGGCGGUAGGCCUAACACAUGCAAGUCGAACGGCAGCACAGUAAGAGCUUGCUCUUACGGGUGGCGAGUGGCGGACGGGUGAGGAAUACAUCGGAAUCUACUUUUUCGUGGGGGAUAACGUAGGGAAACUUACGCUAAUACCGCAUACGACCUACGGGUGAAAGCAGGGGAUCUUCGGACCUUGCGCGAUUGAAUGAGCCGAUGUCGGAUUAGCUAGUUGGCGGGGUAAAGGCCCACCAAGGCGACGAUCCGUAGCUGGUCUGAGAGGAUGAUCAGCCACACUGGAACUGAGACACGGUCCAGACUCCUACGGGAGGCAGCAGUGGGGAAUAUUGGACAAUGGGCGCAAGCCUGAUCCAGCCAUACCGCGUGGGUGAAGAAGGCCUUCGGGUUGUAAAGCCCUUUUGUUGGGAAAGAAAAGCAGCAGGUUGAUACCCCGCUGUUCCGACGGUACCCAAAGAAUAAGCACCGGCUAACUUCGUG
Molecule: ribosomal RNA, 492 nt
Filed under: uncultured bacterium
Lineage: Bacteria
Description: partial 16S ribosomal RNA
Rfam family: Bacterial small subunit ribosomal RNA
Source: RNAcentral